This 1570-nucleotide long non-coding RNA is filed under the name Marmota monax (woodchuck). The record is from RNAcentral. Lineage: Eukaryota; Metazoa; Chordata; Mammalia; Rodentia; Sciuridae.
UGUCUCCUAGUGGAGAACUGUUCAAGCAAUCUUUCACUGGAUGUGGGUGCCAAGUGUUUGUCACUGGCAACUUAAAUAUUAUUUAACUCAGAUGUUCAGUGUGCACCUCCUAAUUCCAGGCACUAUAUAAGAAACAUGAAUAAGACUUACCUGUUUGCAGAGUUGAGUCUGGUGCUGUGGGGGAUAUGCUGUGAGGGAUAGGCUAAUCCAGAUUUGAGAAGAAGGUUCAAGGGGGUUGUAGAGGGGAUGGGUAUCUAAAGUAAACCAGGAAAAUAAGAGCCAAGAAAAAUGGAUCAAGGUAUACUAGGCAGGUAGAACAGCCUUUACAAAAAAUAUUGCUGGCGCAGUGGCCCCACUUGUAAUUCCAGUGGCUGGGGUGGCUGAGGCAGGAAGAUCACAAGUUCAAAGCCAGCCUCAGCAACAGUGAGGCACUAAGCAAUUCAUUGAGACCCUGUCUCAUAAAAUACAAAAAAGGGCUGGGGAUGCGGCUCAGUGGUUGAGCAUCCCUGAGUUCAAUCCCUGGUGCCCAAAAAAUUUUUUAAAAUAAAAUAUUAAGUCAGGCAGCACGCAUUUGUAAUCCCAGUUACUUGGGAGGCCUGGGCAACUUAGUGAAACUUUAUCUCAAUAAAAGGGUGGGGGUGUAGCUCAGUGGUAGAGCACUUUGCUAGUGUGCCUGAGACCCAGGUUCAAUCCUCAGCACUGCAAACAAUAAAUAUAAUAAAUAUGUGUGUGUGUAUAUCUUAAGAUAUACAUCUUAAGCACAGUUAAGAAAAAGCCAUUAAAAUGUGCAGUAUGAGCUGGCAAUUUCAAUUCCACCUAACCCUAGGAAAGAAAAUGCAUGGGGUGAGUCAGGUGUGGUGGUGCAUACCUGUAGUCCCAGCUGCCCAGAAGACUGAGGCAAGAAGAUUACUCAAGCCCAUGAGCCUGGGACCAGCCUAGCAAGACCUAGUCUCAAAAACAAAAAAAGCAUGGGAUGCACGUAAGAGUGUAUGGUCCCCUGGGUGCGACAGCACAUGUAUGUAAUUUCAGCGGCUCAGUAGGCUGAGGCGGGAGGAUCGAAAGUUCGAAGCCAGCCUCAGUAAAAGCAAGGAACUAAGUAACUCAGUGAGACCCUGUCUCUAAAUCUCUAAAUAAAAUACAAACUAGGGCUGGGGAUGUGGGUCAAGUGCCCCUGCAUUCAAUCCUCGGUACCGCCCCACACACACAGAAAAAAAAGAGUGUAUGGUCCUGUGUUUUUCUCAGUAUAUAAAACUAUAUAGUAGUAGGCAUAAGGAGACAGAAGAUUAUAGUUACAAAUAGUCACUAUGAUCAAGAAAUAUGAUUCCUAAGGAAACCACUAUCUAAAAAAUAACAACAUAAAUGUUAAUAAACAGCAAAGGCUUUUUGUUGAGGCUUUCAUCAUUUCAAGACUUAAUAGUAAACUCUGGGGAGUAUAAUUCAGUGUGAGAGUGCUUGCCUAGCACACAUGAGACCCUGGGUCUGAUCACCAGCACCAAAAAUAUAGAUGAUAGGGCAGAAGUUAAUGUGAAACUGUUCACAUUGCAUAUUUAAUCUUUUGUUGUAUAUAUCU